RNAcentral lists this ribosomal RNA (542 nucleotides) under uncultured Ascomycota. RNAcentral describes it as "SSU rRNA". It matches the Rfam family "Eukaryotic small subunit ribosomal RNA", at positions 550 to 1098 of the family's 1831-position model. Lineage: Eukaryota; Fungi; Ascomycota. The record is from RNAcentral.
GGAGGGCAAGUCUGGUGCCAGCAGCCGCGGUAAUUCCAGCUCCAAUAGCGUAUAUUAAAGUUGUUGUGGUUAAAAAGCUCGUAGUUGAACCUUGGGCCUGGCUGGCCGGUCCGCCUCACCGCGUGUACUGGUCCGGCCGGGCCUUUCCCUCUGUGGAACCCCAUGCCCUUCACUGGGUGUGGCGGGGAAACAGGACUUUUACUGUGAAAAAAUUAGAGUGCUCCAGGCAGGCCUAUGCUCGAAUACAUUAGCAUGGAAUAAUAGAAUAGGACGUGUGGUUCUAUUUUGUUGGUUUCUAGGACCGCCGUAAUGAUUAAUAGGGACAGUCGGGGGCAUCAGUAUUCAAUUGUCAGAGGUGAAAUUCUUGGAUUUAUUGAAGACUAACUACCGCGAAAGCAUUUGCCAAGGAUGUAUUCAUUAAUCAGGAACGAAAGUUAGGGGAUCGAAGACGAUCAGAUACCGUCGUAGUCUUAACCAUAAACUAUGCCGACUAGGGAUCGGACGGUGUUAUUUUUUGACCCGUUCGGCGCCUUACGGGAAAC